RNAcentral lists this ribosomal RNA (789 nucleotides) under uncultured Methanomicrobiales archaeon. RNAcentral describes it as "bacterial SSU rRNA". It matches the Rfam family "Archaeal small subunit ribosomal RNA", at positions 85 to 879 of the family's 1478-position model. The record is from RNAcentral. Lineage: Archaea; Methanobacteriati; Methanobacteriota; Methanomicrobia; Methanomicrobiales.
ACKGCUCAGUAACACGUGGACAACCUGCCCUUGAGACGGGGAUAAACCCGGGAAACUGGGUAUAAUACCCGAUAGAUCUCGAUUGCUGGAAUGCAUCGAGCUUGAAAGCUCCGGCGCUCAAGGAUGGGUCUGCGGCCUAUCAGGUAGUAGUGGGUGUAGCGUACCUACUAGCCUACGACGGGUACGGGUUGUGAGAGCAAGAGCCCGGAGAUGGAUUCUGAGACACGAAUCCAGGCCCUACGGGGCGCAGCAGGCGCGAAAACUUUACAAUGCGAGAAAUCGUGAUAAGGGAACCCCGAGUGCCCGUAAAUCCGGGCUGUCCGCCAGUGUAAAUAACUGGUGAAGAAAGGGCCGGGCAAGACCGGUGCCAGCCGCCGCGGUAAUACCGGCGGCUCGAGUGGUGGCCGCUAUUACUGGGCUUAAAGCGUUCGUAGCUGGGCUGUUAAGUCCCCUGGGAAAUCCACCGGCUCAACCGAUGGGCGUUCAGGGGAUACUGGCAGCCUAGGGACCGGGAGAGGUGAGGGGUACUCCAGGGGUAGGAGUGAAAUCCUGUAAUCCUUGGGGGACCACCUGUGGCGAAGGCGUCUCACUAGAACGGCUCCGACAGUGAGGAACGAAAGCUGGGGGAGCAAACCGGAUUAGAUACCCGGGUAGUCCCAGCUGUAAACGAUGCGCGUUAGGUGUAUCGGUGACCACGAGUCACCGAGGUGCCGAAGAGAAAUCGUGAAACGUGCCGCCUGGGAGGUACGGUCGCAAGGCUGAAACUUAAAGGAAUUGGCGGGGGAGCAC